Molecule: ribosomal RNA, 421 nt
Filed under: uncultured Chryseolinea sp.
Lineage: Bacteria; Pseudomonadati; Bacteroidota; Cytophagia; Cytophagales; Fulvivirgaceae
Description: bacterial SSU rRNA
Rfam family: Bacterial small subunit ribosomal RNA
Source: RNAcentral
UAGGGAAUAUUGGUCAAUGGAUGGAAGUCUGAACCAGCCAUGCCGCGUGCAGGAAGAAGGCCUUCUGGGUUGUAAACUGCUUUUGCCAGGGGAUAAAAAGUCCCUGCGGGGAAAAUUGAAGGUACCUGGUGAAUAAGCCACGGCUAACUACGUGCCAGCAGCCGCGGUAAUACGUAGGUGGCGAGCGUUGUCCGGAUUUAUUGGGUUUAAAGGGUGCGUAGGCGGCUUUGUAAGUCAGUGGUGAAAUACUCUAGCUUAACUAGAGGGGUGCCAUUGAUACUGCGGAGCUUGAGUACAGAUGAGGUAGGCGGAAUUGACGGUGUAGCGGUGAAAUGCAUAGAUAUCGUCAAGAACACCGAUAGCGAAGGCAGCUUACUGGGCUGUAACUGACGCUGAGGCACGAAAGUGUGGGGAUCAAACA